GACGGAGGAUGCAAGUGUUAUCCGGAAUCACUGGGCGUAAAGCGUCUGUAGGUGGCUAUGCAAGUCUGUUGUUAAAUCUUGAGGCUUAACUUCAAACCCGCAAUGGAAACUGCAUGGCUUGAGUAUGGUAGAGGUAAGAGGAAUUUCCAGUGGAGCGGUGAAAUGCGUAGAGAUUGGAAAGAACACCGAUGGCGAAGGCAUCUUACUGGGCCAUUACUGACACUCAGAGACGAAAGCUAGGGUAGCAAAUGGG
RNAcentral lists this ribosomal RNA (253 nucleotides) under uncultured bacterium. Its description in RNAcentral is "partial 16S ribosomal RNA". It matches the Rfam family "Bacterial small subunit ribosomal RNA", at positions 524 to 776 of the family's 1533-position model. The record is from RNAcentral.